This 253-nucleotide ribosomal RNA is filed under the name uncultured bacterium. RNAcentral's name for it is "partial 16S ribosomal RNA". It matches the Rfam family "Bacterial small subunit ribosomal RNA", at positions 524 to 776 of the family's 1533-position model. The record is from RNAcentral.
UACGGGGGGGGCAAGCGUUGUUCGGAAUUACUGGGCGUAAAGGGCUUGUAGGUGGCCAACUAAGUCAGACGUGAAAUCCCUCAGCUUAACUGGGGAACUGCGUCUGAUACUGGAUGGCUUGAGUUUGGGAGAGGGAUGCGGAAUUCCGGGUGUAGCGGUGAAAUGCGUAGAUAUCUGGAGGAACACCGGUGGCGAAGGCGGCAUCCUGGACCAACACUGACACUGAGGAGCGAAAGCCAGGGGAGCAAACGGG